AGUAUGUUAUCGCUGAGCUCCCAGCCAGGGAGACGGGGGAACCAAAUCGCCGAAAACGCCGGCGAAUGGGGUGAAUCCUAAGAGUCUGUUCCAUAACGGGAAGACUUGCAGGUAGGGCGCUCUCAAGCCCGAAUCCGUCAGCUAACCUCGUAAGCGUCAUUGAGAGAGAAC
Molecule: small RNA, 171 nt
Filed under: Paenibacillus sp.
Lineage: Bacteria; Bacillati; Bacillota; Bacilli; Caryophanales; Paenibacillaceae
Description: c-di-AMP sequence
Rfam family: c-di-AMP riboswitch aptamer (ydaO/yuaA leader)
About the family: This family represents a conserved RNA structure found upstream of the ydaO and yuaA genes in Bacillus subtilis and related genes in other bacteria. The ydaO/yuaA element is thought to act as a genetic "off" switch for the ydaO and yuaA genes in its native state.
Source: RNAcentral